Molecule: small nuclear RNA, 141 nt
Organism: Lutra lutra (Eurasian river otter)
Lineage: Eukaryota; Metazoa; Chordata; Mammalia; Carnivora; Mustelidae
Product: U4 spliceosomal RNA
Exons: 1
Source: RefSeq, a predicted model, not a curated record
AGCUUUGCGCAGUGGCAGUAUCGUAGCCAAUGAGGUUUAUCCGAGGCACGAUUAUUGCUAAUUGAAACAUGAGAGAGACUCGGUCUACUGCUGCUGGUUUUGAACGUGGAAGGAAGGGAACUCGUGGAAGCUAGGAACAGC